UCCGUGAUAGUUUAGUGGCUAGAAUCACCGUUUGUCGCGAAUUUUGUUCUGACAGUACAUGGUAGACCGGGGUUCAAUUCCCCGUCGCGGAG
Molecule: transfer RNA, 92 nt
Rfam family: tRNA
About the family: Transfer RNA (tRNA) molecules are approximately 80 nucleotides in length. Their secondary structure includes four short double-helical elements and three loops (D, anti-codon, and T loops).